UAAAAAAAAAAUUAUAAAUCCUGACCGAAUUUUUCGGUCAGGAUUCCGAAAAAUUCUGACCUCACAGAAAACUAGAAUGUGUUCCCUUUGUUUCUGCUGGCCCUAAUCCUCUUCCGUAGAAGGCAGAGUUGUUUUUAAGGGAAUAAUCCUGGGAGAGAAAAAAAACCCCCAUAAUUUGUCGGCGCUAUGUGAUUUAAGCCCACCUCUGGGCUCUGCAGAGCAGUUUGAAGGGUGUAUGCAGGACGAGGAGUGCUUCAUUUUACAGCCUCAUCCUGCCGUAUAUAUCAGUGGCUGCAACCAGAUCCCGCUCAGAACCCACCGGCCUCGGGGAAUCUCGCUCCAACAACAGAACACUGAGGCAGUUUCCAAUUUCCACAGGAAGCUGCAGGACGCUGAUCUGGCUGCAGAUGGAGCGGCGAGCGCCACCGGCUCCUCGAAUGAAACACGCCCUGUGGAGAACGGCUAAUGAGUGGAAUGUUGCGCCGUGUUUUGUUCACUCGCAGCGCCUCCCAGCACCGUCUCCUGUGGAAACCUGGAAACCACUGCAGGAUGACUGAUGCAUUGUCUGAUUAGAUGGAACCUGCUGCCCUCUUGAGGUUUCACAUUAGAGCAGGACGAGCCAACCUGAAGGCAACACAGCAGAUUUACAGGUGUGCGUCUGCGCCAGAUCAAUACCUGACAGGACAAUUUUAGUAUUAAACUUGUUAAAUAAAGAACAGAUUUUGUACUACUUCAAAAUAACUUAUUGCUUCUUUCUACUCAAUAUCACAUCUGUUUGGUAUUUUUGCCAUAUUCAUAUAUUUAUCUCAUAGCAUUUUAUUGCUUUAUUGAUAUUAUUACAUACUUUUCAUUUAACCCACCGUACACACAGCUUGAGUGAGUAGAUAAAAAUCAGGCAAAUGAAAUCUCUGUAAUCUGCAACAAACUGAUGUCUGCAGGCAUAAAUCAAGGAAUGGAAUAAAAUUAAUCUUUUGAAUUUUAAAUGGUAAGUGUCCCUCAUUCCAAGAGAUUUUAAUGUAUUUAAUCGAAAAGGUGUGCGUCUAAAUGUACCAACUGAACUUCCAGAAGAUUAACACCCUUUUUAUCCUGAGUUUAAAAUUAUCCAUAUAAAAUAGAAAUAAUCUCGGGAAAUGUGACAAAAUGCUUUCUAAAAUAAUUUUUAGAUAUUAUGUAUUUCAUUAGGCUGCUGCAAAACAAAAAUUUAGCUGUUAAAGAACACCUACUACAGCUAAAAAAAUGAAGCUAUUAUGUUUUUCUUUCCAUUUUAAAAUUAUAUUGUAUUUUUGUCUGUCUGUGGAAGCCCUGAAGCCAGACCAGCUGUUGAAGGUCUGUGGUUUUCCUUCAGUGCCUCUAGUGGUAGAAAGAGGUAUUACAUGAAAAAACAAAAAAUAAGCAUGUCAAAAAAUAAUAAUAGUUCUCAUUUGCCUUUAACAGUAGUUUUUAGACAAGAGAGAAAAACAAAAAGGAAAACUAGGCUAUAGUCAGACAGACUUAACAAAAACCACACUUGAUCAGACAUUUUGUAUGUCAAUAGAUUAUUUUGGGAAAGGUGAGUUUUCCUCACAUUUCAGAAAAAAAAAAGUUCCAUGGGGAAAUCAACAAAAAAAAACUUGCAAUAAUUUAAUCUAGAUUUUUUUUUUUCUGAUAUCUUCUGAAGUUGCCAGGAGAAGAACAUUUUUUAAGACUUAAAAAAUUGUUCUUUAAAAAAAAGUAAAUAAAAUUGUAUGUACUUCUCAGGGCUCGUGCAUCUGUCAC
Molecule: long non-coding RNA, 1755 nt
Organism: Xiphophorus hellerii (green swordtail)
Lineage: Eukaryota; Metazoa; Chordata; Actinopteri; Cyprinodontiformes; Poeciliidae
Exons: 2
Source: RefSeq, a predicted model, not a curated record